Molecule: ribosomal RNA, 428 nt
Filed under: Gemmatimonadota bacterium
Lineage: Bacteria; Pseudomonadati; Gemmatimonadota
Description: Gemmatimonadetes bacterium partial 16S ribosomal RNA
Rfam family: Bacterial small subunit ribosomal RNA
Source: RNAcentral
UAGGGAAUCUUCGGCAAUGGACGAAAGUCUGACCGAGCAACGCCGCGUGAGUGAAGAAGGUUUUCGGAUCGUAAAACUCUGUUGUUAGAGAAGAACAAGGACGUUAGUAACUGAACGUCCCCUGACGGUAUCUAACCAGAAAGCCACGGCUAACUACGUGCCAGCAGCCGCGGUAAUACGUAGGUGGCAAGCGUUUUCCGGAAUUAUUGGGCGUAAAGCGAGCGCAGGCGGUUUCUUAAGUCUGAUGUGAAAGCCCCCGGCUCAACCGGGGGGGGUCAUUGGAAACUGGGAGACUUGAGUGCAGAAGAGGAGAGUGGAAUUCCGUGUGUAGCGGUGAAAUGCGUAGAUAUAUGGAGGACAACAGUGGCGAAGGCGGCUCUCUGGUCUGUAACUGACGCUGAGGCUCGAAAGCGUGGGGAGCAAACAGG